This 64-nucleotide transfer RNA is filed under the name Dipodomys ordii (Ord's kangaroo rat). It matches the Rfam family "tRNA". From Rfam's summary of the family: Transfer RNA (tRNA) molecules are approximately 80 nucleotides in length. Their secondary structure includes four short double-helical elements and three loops (D, anti-codon, and T loops). Further hydrogen bonds mediate the characteristic L-shaped molecular structure. tRNAs have two regions of fundamental functional importance: the anti-codon, which is responsible for specific mRNA codon recognition, and the 3' end, to which the tRNAs corresponding amino acid is attached (by aminoacyl-tRNA synthetases). tRNAs cope with the degeneracy of the genetic code in two manners: having more than one tRNA (with a specific anti-codon) for a particular amino acid; and 'wobble' base-pairing, i.e. permitting non-standard base-pairing at the 3rd anti-codon position. Lineage: Eukaryota; Metazoa; Chordata; Mammalia; Rodentia; Heteromyidae. The record is from Rfam by way of RNAcentral.
GGUGGCUCAAUGGUAGAGUGUUUGCCUUGCAUGCAUGAGGUCCUGGGCUCAAUCCUCAGUACCA